ACUCCUACGGGAGGCAGCGGUGGGGAAUUUUGGACAAUGGGCGAAAGCCUGAUCCAGCAAUGCCGCGUGAGUGAUGAAGGCCUUAGGGUUGUAAAGCUCUUUUACCAGGGAUGAUAAUGACAGUACCUGGAGAAUAAGCUCCGGCUAACUCCGUGCCAGCAGCCGCGGUAAUAC
This 174-nucleotide ribosomal RNA is filed under the name uncultured bacterium. RNAcentral describes it as "partial 16S ribosomal RNA". It matches the Rfam family "Bacterial small subunit ribosomal RNA", at positions 335 to 526 of the family's 1533-position model. The record is from RNAcentral.